UACGAAGGGUGCUAGCGUUGUUCGGAAUCACUGGGCGUAAAGCGCGCGUAGGCGGCUUUACAAGUCAGAGGUGAAAUCCCAAGGCUCAACCUUGGAACUGCCUUUGAAACUGUAAAGCUAGAGUGUCGGAGGGGAUGGCGGAAUUCCUAAUGUAGAGGCGAAAUUCGUAGAUAUCGAGAGGAACACCGGUGGCGAAGGCGGCCUUCUGGACAGUGACUGACGCUGAGACGCGAAAGCGUGGGGAGCAAACAGG
This 253-nucleotide ribosomal RNA is filed under the name uncultured bacterium. Its description in RNAcentral is "partial 16S ribosomal RNA". It matches the Rfam family "Bacterial small subunit ribosomal RNA", at positions 524 to 776 of the family's 1533-position model. The record is from RNAcentral.